Carassius auratus (goldfish) is the source of this 1030-nucleotide long non-coding RNA. RefSeq lists it as uncharacterized. The transcript has 3 exons. The record is from RefSeq and is a predicted model, not a curated record. Lineage: Eukaryota; Metazoa; Chordata; Actinopteri; Cypriniformes; Cyprinidae.
CAGCUGAUGCUAGUUUAUAUCUUGUUGUGAUUGAUCACAUUAUCAGUACGUCUGACAUUAUCAUUGUUUUUCAGAAUGUUGGCAAUAACAGGCUGUACAAUAACACUUAAUGAAUUAGCUAUUAAUAUAUCCAGUGCCCAAUAGCCUUUCUGAAGUGCAAAACACUGAAUGCUUCAUACUUCAUACAAUGCUUCAAUGAUUGUCUAACUGAACUAUUCUUCCCUCUUCUCCACUGUUUGUCUAACUGAACUAUUCUUCCCUCUUCUCCACUGUUCCCUAGAAUGAGUGGAUUUAAAAAUAUAUACCAAGACGUCCAACCAGUAACCUUUGACUUGCAGAUGAAAAUGUGAGAAGCCAUAAAGGUGUUCGCAGUGCUCCUAUGCUUCUGUUGACAGAAGCUCUCUGUUACAAGGACACUUAAGGACACACACACACACAAGAAAAGCCUUACUGCUGCCAGGAGUGUCCUUACAGCAGCAUCCAGAAGAAGAGCUUAGACCUCCAUUCACGGCGUCAUCACACUGGAGAGUCAUUCCCUUGUCACCUGUGCCAGUAUUUGUUUUGCUAAUUAUGCACACUUCUUGUAAUAAUUAAGUAAAUUCCAUGUGCCAUUGCUUUUGAAAUAUAAUGUCAUGGUUUUAAAUAAUAUUUGAUCAGAGCUCGAGUCACGGUUUAAUAAGUUUGGUGGAAUGUAGGUGAAUGUUAUUUGCUUAGUUUUAUUGGGUGGAUAAGUAUAGGUAAAAAUCGGACAAAUAAACAUCAUAUUAGUUACUCUUCUAUAUAUUCUGUUCUAUAUAUUGUUCAAACACAUUUGACAUAUUUAGAAUUAACAUGUAUGGAAUCAAAAUGAAUGUGUCUUAUUUCAUCACAUCUAGCUCUGAGAAUGAGUCCCAGAUGUGGACUGGAAUGGGAAUUCAAAAUGGGAUCAGAUGCGUCAAGGAAACAGUGCACAAACCUGGCAAGGGGUUCAUGCCUCUGGCAGGCACGUGCACACAUAGACAUCAAAGGGGGCUUGAGCACCUGCCCUUUU